AGCACUAAGAUCCACCCUUUUUUUCUCUCUCUCCUCUCUCCUCUCUACUUUCAAAAACCCUAGCCUCCAUUGUUGAUUUUUAAAGGGGCUUCCAUCGGUUUUUACCGUUGGAAAGCCCCCACCUUUGCUUUUUUUAUUUGUUUUUAGGUUUCCAAUAACGAUUUCUCCCUCGAAAGACAGGGUUUUCGAUCUCCUUCUUAAGAAAAGGUUUUUCGACCUCCUUCGAAAGACAGGGUUUUUCUCCUCUUUUAGAGGGGGAAUUUCUAUAGGUUACAAUCCAGGAUACUAGAUCUAAUGGAUUGCCGUGAAAUUAUUUUGUUGGUGAAGAAUUAUGCGGGAUCACAAAGGUUAUCAAUUUUUCGAAUACGGUCAGAUGAAUCCGACGGAAAUCAUCCUCACGACUACAAGGGAUCGUUAGAUUGUCUCUCCAACAAGGCUGUAUUUUCCAGCGAUAUAAGCGGGAGAUGUUCCACAUUGCAAGAUUUGUUUGACGAUCGUAGUUUUUAUGAAGGAAAUUUUUGUUUGAUUCAACUUAUGUAUUUGUUUGAUUCGAUUGCUUAUGUAGAUGUCGUAUGACUUUUUAUUAAUGAAUUAAUUUUACUAUUCAAAAAAAUCUUCAUCCUCCUUUCUUCCUUCGUCCGGUUCUAGGCUCAAGAACCAAGAAAUUCAUCCUCCCUCCUUCUUCUUCUGAUUCAUGGCACAUCAACCAAAAACCUCCAACAGCUCCCUCCUCCUCUUUCAUCCAGUUCAAGCACACACACCAAGAAAUUUUCGACAGCUAAACUAUCACCAUUCAGCAUUUGAACCGAAAAUUCCCCCCUAUAAAUACUGAUUCAUUCACACUAAAUUUCCCAAGCAAACUAACCCACAAAGACUGCGAUUUCGUAGACGAGGAAUACCAGGAGCGCUAACACGUUCGUGAACUGAACUUUUGGGCACACGUCACGAGAUUAUGGAUACGAAUGACAAAAUGGACAACGACUAUGGAUUCUGAUUAUGAAUUAUGAAUAACGACGAUGGACGAUGUACGAUAUGACAACAAUUAAAAUCGG
This is a long non-coding RNA of Beta vulgaris subsp. vulgaris (sugar beet), 1052 nucleotides long. RefSeq lists it as uncharacterized. The record is from RefSeq and is a predicted model, not a curated record. The transcript is spliced from 3 exons. NCBI's taxonomy places the organism in Eukaryota, Viridiplantae, Streptophyta, Magnoliopsida, Caryophyllales, Amaranthaceae.